GGAGAGAUGACCGAGUGGUUGAAGGUGCACGAUUGGAAGUCGUGUGUGCCGAAAGACACCGGGGGUUCGAAUCCCCCUCUCUCCG
Molecule: transfer RNA, 85 nt
Filed under: Termitinemataceae bacterium
Lineage: Bacteria; Pseudomonadati; Spirochaetota; Spirochaetia; Spirochaetales; Termitinemataceae
Description: tRNA-Ser
Rfam family: tRNA
About the family: Transfer RNA (tRNA) molecules are approximately 80 nucleotides in length. Their secondary structure includes four short double-helical elements and three loops (D, anti-codon, and T loops).
Source: RNAcentral